GUUAAGCGACUAAGCGUACACGGUGGAUGCCCUGGCAGUCAGAGGCGAUGAAGGACGUGCUAAUCUGCGAUAAGCGUCGGUAAGGUGAUAUGAACCGUUAUAACCGGCGAUUUCCGAAUGGGGAAACCCAGUGUGAUUCGUCACACUAUCAUUAACUGAAUCCAUAGGUUAAUGAGGCGAACCGGGGGAACUGAAACAUCUAAGUACCCCGAGGAAAAGAAAUCAACCGAGAUUCCCCCAGUAGCGGCGAGCGAACGGGGAGCAGCCCAGAGCCUGAAUCAGUGUGUGUGUUAGUGGAAGCGUCUGGAAAGGCGCGCGAUACAGGGUGACAGCCCCGUACACAAAAAUGCACAUGCUGUGAGCUCGAUGAGUAGGGCGGGACACGUGGUAUCCUGUCUGAAUAUGGGGGGACCAUCCUCCAAGGCUAAAUACUCCUGACUGACCGAUAGUGAACCAGUACCGUGAGGGAAAGGCGAAAAGAACCCCGGCGAGGGGAGUGAAAAAGAACCUGAAACCGUGUACGUACAAGCAGUGGGAGCACGCUUAGGCGUGUGACUGCGUACCUUUUGUAUAAUGGGUCAGCGACUUAUAUUCUGUAGCAAGGUUAACCGAAUAGGGGAGCCGAAGGGAAACCGAGUCUUAACUGGGCGUUAAGUUGCAGGGUAUAGACCCGAAACCCGGUGAUCUAGCCAUGGGCAGGUUGAAGGUUGGGUAACACUAACUGGAGGACCGAACCGACUAAUGUUGAAAAAUUAGCGGAUGACUUGUGGCUGGGGGUGAAAGGCCAAUCAAACCGGGAGAUAGCUGGUUCUCCCCGAAAGCUAUUUAGGUAGCGCCUCGUGAAUUCAUCUCCGGGGGUAGAGCACUGUUUCGGCAAGGGGGUCAUCCCGACUUACCAACCCGAUGCAAACUGCGAAUACCGGAGAAUGUUAUCACGGGAGACACACGGCGGGUGCUAACGUCCGUCGUGAAGAGGGAAACAACCCAGACCGCCAGCUAAGGUCCCAAAGUCAUGGUUAAGUGGGAAACGAUGUGGGAAGGCCCAGACAGCCAGGAUGUUGGCUUAGAAGCAGCCAUCAUUUAAAGAAAGCGUAAUAGCUCACUGGUCGAGUCGGCCUGCGCGGAAGAUGUAACGGGGCUAAACCAUGCACCGAAGCUGCGGCAGCGACGCUUAUGCGUUGUUGGGUAGGGGAGCGUUCUGUAAGCCUGCGAAGGUGUGCUGUGAGGCAUGCUGGAGGUAUCAGAAGUGCGAAUGCUGACAUAAGUAACGAUAAAGCGGGUGAAAAGCCCGCUCGCCGGAAGACCAAGGGUUCCUGUCCAACGUUAAUCGGGGCAGGGUGAGUCGACCCCUAAGGCGAGGCCGAAAGGCGUAGUCGAUGGGAAACAGGUUAAUAUUCCUGUACUUGGUGUUACUGCGAAGGGGGGACGGAGAAGGCUAUGUUGGCCGGGCGACGGUUGUCCCGGUUUAAGCGUGUAGGCUGGUUUUCCAGGCAAAUCCGGAAAAUCAAGGCUGAGGCGUGAUGACGAGGCACUACGGUGCUGAAGCAACAAAUGCCCUGCUUCCAGGAAAAGCCUCUAAGCAUCAGGUAACAUCAAAUCGUACCCCAAACCGACACAGGUGGUCAGGUAGAGAAUACCAAGGCGCUUGAGAGAACUCGGGUGAAGGAACUAGGCAAAAUGGUGCCGUAACUUCGGGAGAAGGCACGCUGAUAUGUAGGUGAAGUCCCUCGCGGAUGGAGCUGAAAUCAGUCGAAGAUACCAGCUGGCUGCAACUGUUUAUUAAAAACACAGCACUGUGCAAACACGAAAGUGGACGUAUACGGUGUGACGCCUGCCCGGUGCCGGAAGGUUAAUUGAUGGGGUUAGCGCAAGCGAAGCUCUUGAACGAAGCCCCGGUAAACGGCGGCCGUAACUAUAACGGUCCUAAGGUAGCGAAAUUCCUUGUCGGGUAAGUUCCGACCUGCACGAAUGGCGUAAUGAUGGCCAGGCUGUCUCCACCCGAGACUCAGUGAAAUUGAACUCGCUGUGAAGAUGCAGUGUACCCGCGGCAAGACGGAAAGACCCCGUGAACCUUUACUAUAGCUUGACACUGAACAUUGAGCCUUGAUGUGUAGGAUAGGUGGGAGGCUUUGAAGUGUGGACGCCAGUCUGCAUGGAGCCGACCUUGAAAUACCACCCUUUAAUGUUUGAUGUUCUAACGUGGACCCGU
Molecule: ribosomal RNA, 2209 nt
Filed under: Escherichia coli
Lineage: Bacteria; Pseudomonadati; Pseudomonadota; Gammaproteobacteria; Enterobacterales; Enterobacteriaceae
Description: partial 23S ribosomal RNA
Rfam family: Bacterial large subunit ribosomal RNA
Source: RNAcentral